RNAcentral lists this long non-coding RNA (390 nucleotides) under Brachypodium distachyon (stiff brome). Its description in RNAcentral is "long non-coding RNA (BDIS_LNC003909)". Lineage: Eukaryota; Viridiplantae; Streptophyta; Magnoliopsida; Poales; Poaceae. The record is from RNAcentral.
UGCUGUAAUAAGUCGAUUUGAGCACAUAGACCAAAUCAUUGUGUUGAUCAGCCAAUUGGGCAAUAUUUGAUGAUUUGAAUGAUCCCAUGCACACCACCAGGUGUCGACAACUGAGAAGGAAAUUAUAUGCUCUGUUUUUUAAUAGAGUGCAGAGACUGCUUCUGAAGGAGCACGAUUUUUGUGACGGAGCUAGCAGGAUACAAGAAGCAUUUUUUUUGUGCCCGGUCAAAAGUCAAUAGGCCCGGUUGUUGAGUACUUGAGUUGGAAGGUGCCAUGCGGAUAGAUUAUCGAGUCUAUGAUAGUGGACGAAAGGGUACUUCCUGAUAAAGUUUUGAGACCAUCCACCGUUAGAUUUUUUUUUCUCUAUUCAGAGAUAGUCAUGUUUUAUGA